RNAcentral lists this ribosomal RNA (492 nucleotides) under uncultured bacterium. Its description in RNAcentral is "partial 16S ribosomal RNA". It matches the Rfam family "Bacterial small subunit ribosomal RNA", at positions 29 to 507 of the family's 1533-position model. The record is from RNAcentral.
AGUGAACGCUGGCGGUAGGCCUAACACAUGCAAGUCGAACGGCAGCUCAGUAAGAGCUUGCUCUUACGGGUGGCGAGUGGCGGACGGGUGAGGAAUACAUCGGAAUCUACUUUUUCGUGGGGGAUAACGUAGGGAAACUUACGCUAAUACCGCAUACGACCUACGGGUGAAAGCAGGGGGUCUUCGGACCUUGCGCGAUUGAAUGAGCCGAUGUCGGAUUAGCUAGUUGGCGGGGUAAAGGCCCACCAAGGCGACGAUCCGUAGCUGGUCUGAGAGGAUGAUCAGCCACACUGGAACUGAGACACGGUCCAGACUCCUACGGGAGGCAGCAGUGGGGAAUAUUGGACAAUGGGCGAAAGCCUGAUCCAGCCAUACCGCGUGGGUGAAGAAGGCCUUCGGGUUGUAAAGCCCUUUUGUUGGGAAAGAAAAGCAGCAGGUUAAUACCCCGCUGUUCUGACGGUACCCAAAGAAUAAGCACCGGCUAACUUCGUG